RNAcentral lists this ribosomal RNA (762 nucleotides) under uncultured bacterium. RNAcentral's name for it is "bacterial SSU rRNA". It matches the Rfam family "Bacterial small subunit ribosomal RNA", at positions 771 to 1532 of the family's 1533-position model. The record is from RNAcentral.
AACCGGAUUAGAUACCCUGGUAGUCCACGCCGUAAACGAUGUCGACUUGGAGGCUGUUCCCUUGAGGAGUGGCUUCCGGAGCUAACGCGUUAAGUCGACCGCCUGGGGAGUACGGCCGCAAGGUUAAAACUCAAAUGAAUUGACGGGGGCCCGCACAAGCGGUGGAGCAUGUGGUUUAAUUCGAUGCAACGCGAAGAACCUUACCUACUCUUGACAUCCAGAGAAUUUAGCAGAGAUGCUUUAGUGCCUUCGGGAACUCUGAGACAGGUGCUGCAUGGCUGUCGUCAGCUCGUGUUGUGAAAUGUUGGGUUAAGUCCCGCAACGAGCGCAACCCUUAUCCUUUGUUGCCAGCACGUAAUGGUGGGAACUCAAAGGAGACUGCCGGUGAUAAACCGGAGGAAGGUGGGGAUGACGUCAAGUCAUCAUGGCCCUUACGAGUAGGGCUACACACGUGCUACAAUGGCGCAUACAAAGAGAAGCGACCUCGCGAGAGCAAGCGGACCUCAUAAAGUGCGUCGUAGUCCGGAUUGGAGUCUGCAACUCGACUCCAUGAAGUCGGAAUCGCUAGUAAUCGUAAAUCAGAAUGUUACGGUGAAUACGUUCCCGGGCCUUGUACACACCGCCCGUCACACCAUGGGAGUGGGUUGCAAAAGAAGUAGAUAGCUUAGCCUUCGGGAGGGCGUUUACCACUUUGUGAUUCAUGACUGGGGUGAAGUCGUAACAAGGUAACCGUAGGGGAACCUGCGGCUGGAUCACCUCCUU